Non-coding RNA from Pan troglodytes (chimpanzee), 47 nucleotides. NCBI's taxonomy places the organism in Eukaryota, Metazoa, Chordata, Mammalia, Primates, Hominidae. The record is from Rfam.
CUCCAGGCUCUUCUCAGAGCCACGACAGGCUUGGAGGGAAGUAGCCU